Molecule: long non-coding RNA, 564 nt
Organism: Parus major (Great Tit)
Lineage: Eukaryota; Metazoa; Chordata; Aves; Passeriformes; Paridae
Source: Ensembl
AUGAAGUUUUGUGUGGAGGAAGGAGCUGGAUGUUUUCUCCGAGUGGAGCUGCUGCAAGGGCCUUUCCUGCUGCUGUCACCAGUCCCAGUGGAUGCUCAGCUGCCUUCAGGUGUGAGCUGGCAGUGGCUGUCCCUGUGGGUGCAGACUGGUGACCCAGGCCCUGCCUGGGGAGGAAAGCAGCUGCAAGAGAGCUGGGAAAUUCCUGGUGCUGUGCUGGUCCUGGGGAAUGCUGCUGGCUGGAUUUAUGGGAAGGUGAGUGGUUAUCUCCUCCCUGCCCUUCUCUCACCUCUCUGGGCCGUACAGCAGCUCUGAAUGUGGUCCCUGUGUCCUCCCAUCGAGGUCAGAGCUGAGCCUGGACCUGCCCCAAAUCCCUUCUGUCCCCCAGAGUUUGAAGUACUGCUCUGACAAGGAGCUUGACACAACAAAGUGAGCUGUGCUCCAGCCAGAGCCAGAAAGUUUCAUGUUCAGAUAUUUGAAUCUGUCAUUUCCAGGAGACCAUAAAAUCCCUUUUUAAAUAACGCGUGCGUGUGUUUCUGCAGCAGAAAAGCCUUUUCUGUACAAGUC